Molecule: ribosomal RNA, 253 nt
Filed under: uncultured bacterium
Lineage: Bacteria
Description: partial 16S ribosomal RNA
Rfam family: Bacterial small subunit ribosomal RNA
Source: RNAcentral
UACGUAGGGGGCGAGCGUUGUCCGGAAUUAUUGGGCGUAAAGGGUGCGUAGGCGGCCAAGCAAGUCAGAUGUGAAAUACCACGGCUUAACUGUGGGGGUGCAUUUGAAACUGCAUGGCUGGAGUACAGGAGAGGGAAGCGGAAUUCCUAGUGUAGCGGUGAAAUGCAUAGAUAUUAGGAGGAACACCAGUGGCGAAGGCGGCUUUCUGGACUGUAACUGACGCUGAGGCACGAAAGCGUGGGGAGCAAACAGG